Molecule: ribosomal RNA, 278 nt
Filed under: uncultured prokaryote
Description: partial 16S ribosomal RNA
Rfam family: Bacterial small subunit ribosomal RNA
Source: RNAcentral
UACGUAAGGGGCAAGCGUUAUCCGGAUUUACUGGGUGUAAAGGGAGCGUAGACGGUGAGGCAAGUCUGAUGUGAAAACCCGGGGCUCAACUCCGGGAUUGCAUUGGAAACUGUCUGACUUGAGUACUGGAGGGGUAAGCGGAAUUCCUGGUGUAGCGGUGAAAUGCGUAGAUAUCAGGAGGAACACCGGUGGCGAAGGCGGCUUACUGGACAGUAACUGACGUUGAGGCUCGAAAGCGUGGGGAGCAAACAGGAUUAGAUACCCCUGUAGUCCCUGAG